This 373-nucleotide ribosomal RNA is filed under the name uncultured bacterium. RNAcentral's name for it is "bacterial SSU rRNA". It matches the Rfam family "Bacterial small subunit ribosomal RNA", at positions 521 to 896 of the family's 1533-position model. The record is from RNAcentral.
UAAUACGGAGGGUGCAAGCGUUAUCCGGAUUCACUGGGUUUAAAGGGUGCGUAGGCGGAUUAGUAAGUCCGUGGUGAAAUCUCCAAGCUUAACUUGGAAACUGCCGUGGAUACUAUUAGUCUUGAAUGUUGUGGAGGUUAGCGGAAUAUGUCAUGUAGCGGUGAAAUGCAUAGAUAUGACAUAGAACACCAAUUGCGAAGGCAGCUGGCUACACAAAUAUUGACGCUGAUGCACGAAAGCGUGGGGAUCAAACAGGAUUAGAUACCCUGGUAGUCCACGCCCUAAACGAUGAUUACUCGACAUUUGCGAUAUACAGUAAGUGUCUGAGCGAAAGCAUUAAGUAAUCCACCUGGGAAGUACGACCGCAAGGUUG